UUUGCUUAAACAGACCUACAUGAUUAAACGUCUGUCUGGAGAGACAUUACUUUUGUUUUAAAAAGCUGCUGGAAGAGUCCAGAGAACAGAGUGAUCUGAAGAGGCACCUGAAGGAGGUCACAGCAGCCAUCAGCAAGGACCCACUGUACAUCCACAGACUGUGGUCAAAACCAACCCUCACAUCCACAGAGGCUGCCAUCCAGUCUAUGCUGAGUGCCUGAAGAACAAUGACCUUGGCAGAGCAGCACUGUGACAGAUCAAGGAGUGCAGAAGCCUGUGGCCCAAGGACAUCUUUGGACGCAGCUCUGAGGACGAGGUCCAGACACUCCUGAAUAUUUAUUUCCUCACCAAACCCUGGGACAGACCGGUAUUUACGCCCUAGUAGGGUCUAACCAUAGCCUGACUGAAAUCUGCACCAAGCUGAUGGAGCUGAACAUGGAGAUCCGAGACGUGAUCCGCGGGGAUCCGCAAAGUUUGGACAGAGUAUUCCCCUCUUGUUCCCUGUAGAACUUUUUCUAAAGAAGAUGACUCAACUUCCAAUGUGUACAAUAUUCUCCAAACCGAGAAAGCCUAGGACCUCCUGAGACAGACUCUACCCAUCCUGAUGUGUGGCUACUGUUCACCAAACAAAGGCACCCAAUACUGGAGACAGGACUUCUGUUGUGGUACCCAAACUGACCACACUGAAGGACUUCAUCCUUCUAGAGACA
This 710-nucleotide long non-coding RNA is filed under the name Rattus norvegicus (Norway rat). RNAcentral's name for it is "long non-coding RNA NONRATT007199". Lineage: Eukaryota; Metazoa; Chordata; Mammalia; Rodentia; Muridae. The record is from RNAcentral.